GGAAUCUUGUGCAAUGGACGAAAGUCUGACACAGCCACGCCGCGUGCGGGAAGAAGGCCUUCGGGUUGUAAACCGCUUUCAGCAGGAACGAAGAUGACGGUACCUGCAGAAGAAGGAGCGGCCAACUACGUGCCAGCAGCCGCGGUGACACGUAGGCUCCAAGCGUUGUCCGGAUUUAUUGGGUGUAAAGAGCUCGUAGGCGGUUCAGCAAGUCGGGUGUGAAAACUCUGGGCUCAACCCAGAGCCUGUACCCGAAACUGCUGUGACUAGAGUUCGGUAGGGGAGUGGGGAAUUCCUAGUGUAGCGGUGAAAUGCGCAGAUAUUAGGAGGAACACCGAUGGCGAAGGCACCACUCUGGGCCGAAACUGACGCUGAGGAGCGAAAGCGUGGGUAGCAAACAGGAUUAGAUACCCUGGUAGUCCACGCCGUAAACGAUGGGCACUAGGUGUGGGUCUCUAACCAACGAGAUCCGCGCCGUCGCUAACGCAUUAAGUGCCCCGCCUGGGGAGUACGGUCGCAAGACUAAAACUCAAAGGAAUUGACGG
This 545-nucleotide ribosomal RNA is filed under the name uncultured bacterium. Its description in RNAcentral is "bacterial SSU rRNA". It matches the Rfam family "Bacterial small subunit ribosomal RNA", at positions 358 to 916 of the family's 1533-position model. The record is from RNAcentral.